RNAcentral lists this ribosomal RNA (504 nucleotides) under Apiomerus barrocoloradoi. RNAcentral describes it as "partial 16S ribosomal RNA". It matches the Rfam family "Bacterial large subunit ribosomal RNA", at positions 1809 to 2586 of the family's 2925-position model. Lineage: Eukaryota; Metazoa; Arthropoda; Insecta; Hemiptera; Reduviidae. The record is from RNAcentral.
AAAAACAUGUCCUUUUGGUUUUAUUUAAGGUCUAACCUGCCCAAUGAUUGUAUUUAAUGGCCGCGGUAUUUUAACUGUGCUAAGGUAGCAUAAUCAUUUGUCUUUUAAUUGAAGGCUGGUAUGAAUGGUUGGACGAGGCAUAAUCUUUCUUUAUUUUAAUUUAUGAAUUUAAUUUUUUAGUUAAAAGGCUAAAAUUUUUUUGUUGGACGAGAAGACCCUAUAGAUCUUUAUAUUUAUGUUUAGUUGAUUAAUUUGGUUAAUUUAUUAUUUAGAUUAAAAUAAGUAUUUGGUUGGGGUGACUGUGGAAUUUUAAUAACUUCUAUUUGUUUUUUUCAUUUAUUUAUGUUUCUUUGAUCCAUUGAUAGUGAUUAUAAGAUUAAGUUACCUUAGGGAUAACAGCGUAAUUUCUUUGGAGAGUUCAUAUCGAUAAAGAAGUUUGCGACCUCGAUGUUGGAUUAAAAUAAGUGAUGGAUGUAGUAGUUUAUUAACUAGGUCUGUUCGACC